AUAUCAGUAAGCGGAGGAAAAGAAACUAACAAGGAUUCCCUUAGUAGCGGCGAGCGAAGAGGGAGUAGCCCAUAACCGAUCCCAUGGCGUGAUGUCAUCGGGACAUGUGGUGUUGGGGUGGUUCUUGCUGCGCAUUUCCAGAGUCCUAAGUCCACGUGAUUGUGGCUCAUUCCCCAGAGAGGGUGUAAGGCCCGUUAGGAUUGCAAAUGUGCAGCGCGAAGCUACUCGAAGAGUCGGUUUGCAUUC
This 246-nucleotide ribosomal RNA is filed under the name uncultured eukaryote. RNAcentral describes it as "partial large subunit ribosomal RNA". It matches the Rfam family "Eukaryotic large subunit ribosomal RNA", at positions 40 to 277 of the family's 3401-position model. The record is from RNAcentral.